UCUUCCCUCUUGCUUCGUGCCUAAUACAUGCAAGUCGAGCGAACAGACGAGGAGCUUGCUCCUCUGACGUUAGCGGCGGACGGGUGAGUAACACGUGGAUAACCUACCUAUAAGACUGGGAUAACUUCGGGAAACCGGAGCUAAUACCGGAUAAUAUAUUGAACCGCAUGGUUCAAUAGUGAAAGACGGUUUUGCUGUCACUUAUAGAUGGAUCCGCGCCGCAUUAGCUAGUUGGUAAGGUAACGGCUUACCAAGGCGACGAUGCGUAGCCGACCUGAGAGGGUGAUCGGCCACACUGGAACUGAGACACGGUCCAGACUCCUACGGGAGGCAGCAGUAGGGAAUCUUCCGCAAUGGGCGAAAGCCUGACGGAGCAACGCCGCGUGAGUGAUGAAGGUCUUCGGAUCGUAAAACUCUGUUAUUAGGGAAGAACAAAUGUGUAAGUAACUAUGCACGUCUUGACGGUACCUAAUCAGAAAGCCACGGCUAACUACGUG
This 497-nucleotide ribosomal RNA is filed under the name uncultured bacterium. Its description in RNAcentral is "partial 16S ribosomal RNA". It matches the Rfam family "Bacterial small subunit ribosomal RNA", at positions 36 to 507 of the family's 1533-position model. The record is from RNAcentral.